This 459-nucleotide ribosomal RNA is filed under the name uncultured bacterium. Its description in RNAcentral is "partial 16S ribosomal RNA". It matches the Rfam family "Bacterial small subunit ribosomal RNA", at positions 338 to 795 of the family's 1533-position model. The record is from RNAcentral.
CCUACGGGUGGCAGCAGUGAGGAAUAUUGGUCAAUGGGCGGGAGCCUGAACCAGCCAAGCCGCGUGAGGGAAGAAGGUACAGCGUAUCGUAAACCUCUUUUGUCAGGGAACAAAGGCGGGGACUAGUCCCCGGAUGAGUGUACCUGAAGAAAAAGCAUCGGCUAACUCCGUGCCAGCAGCCGCGGUAAUACGGAGGAUGCGAGCGUUAUCCGGAUGUAUUGGGUUUACAGGGUGCGCAGGGGGCCUGUUAAGUCAGCGGUAAAAGCCCGGGGCUCAACCCCGGCGAGCAGGUGAAACUGGCGGGCUGGAGUGGGAGAGAAGUACGCGGAAUGCGAGGUGUAGCGGUGAAAGGCUUAGAGAUAGGGCAGAACCCCUAUUGCGAAGGCAGCGUACCGGCUCCACACUGACGCUGAGGCACGAAAGCGUGGGGAUCGAACAGGAUGAGAUACCCUUGUAGUC